Molecule: ribosomal RNA, 497 nt
Filed under: uncultured bacterium
Lineage: Bacteria
Description: partial 16S ribosomal RNA
Rfam family: Bacterial small subunit ribosomal RNA
Source: RNAcentral
GAUGAACGCUGGCGGCGUGCCUAAUACAUGCAAGUCGAGCGAACAGACGAGGAGCUUGCUCCUCUGACGUUAGCGGCGGACGGGUGAGUAACACGUGGAUAACCUACCUAUAAGACUGGGAUAACUUCGGGAAACCGGAGCUAAUACCGGAUAAUAUAUUGAACCGCAUGGUUCAAUAGUGAAAGACGGUUUUGCUGUCACUUAUAGAUGGAUCCGCGCCGCAUUAGCUAGUUAGUAAGGUAACGGCUUACCAAGGCAACGAUGCGUAGCCGACCUGAGAGGGUGAUCGGCCACCCUGGAACUGAGACACGGUCCAGACUCCUACGGGAGGCAGCAGUAGGGAAUCUUCCGCAAUGGGCGAAAGCCUGACGGAGCAACGCCGCGUGAGUGAUGAAGGUCUUCGGAUCGUAAAACUCUGUUAUUAGGGAAGAACAAAUGUGUAAGUAACUAUGCACGUCUUGACGGUACCUAAUCAGAAAGCCACGGCUAACUACGUG